UACGUAGGGGGCAAGCGUUGUCCGGAUUCAUUGGGCGUAAAGAGCUCGUAGGCGGUUCAGCAAGUCGGGUGUGAAACCUCCAGGCUCAACCUGGAGACGCCACCCGAUACUGCUGUGACUUGAGUCCGGUAGGGGACCACGGAAUUCCUGGUGUAGCGGUGAAAUGACGCAGAUAUCAGGAGGAACACCGGUGGCGAAGGCGGCGACCUGGUCCUUGACUGACGCUGAGGCGCGAAAGCGUGGGGAGCAAACAGG
This 255-nucleotide ribosomal RNA is filed under the name uncultured bacterium. RNAcentral describes it as "partial 16S ribosomal RNA". It matches the Rfam family "Bacterial small subunit ribosomal RNA", at positions 524 to 776 of the family's 1533-position model. The record is from RNAcentral.